GACGAACGCUGGCGGCGUGCUUAACACAUGCAAGUCGAACGGAAAGGCCCUGCUUGCUGGGUAGUCGGGUGGCGAACGGGUGAGUAACGAGUGGGUCGUCUGCACUCCACUUCCGGAUAAGCCUGGGCAGCUUGGUCUAGUACCGAAUAGGAGCCAUUUUUAGUGUGUUGGUUGGAAAGUUUUUGCGGUGUAGGAUGGGCUCGCGGCCUAUCCGCUUGUUGGUUGGGUAAUGGCCUACCAAGGCGGCGACGGGUGGCCGGCCUGAGCGGGUGGACGGACACGGUGGGGCUGAGAUACGGCCCAGACUGCUACGGGAGGCAGCCGUGGGGAAUAUGGCAGAAGGGGCGAAGGCGUGAUGCAGAGAGGCCGCGUGGGGGUGUAAGGCCUUCGGGUUGGAAAAUCAGUUCGCUAGGGACUAAGCGUUUUGUGACGGUACCUAGAUAAGAAGCGCCGGCUAACUACGUG
RNAcentral lists this ribosomal RNA (465 nucleotides) under uncultured bacterium. Its description in RNAcentral is "partial 16S ribosomal RNA". It matches the Rfam family "Bacterial small subunit ribosomal RNA", at positions 28 to 507 of the family's 1533-position model. The record is from RNAcentral.